CCUCAUGCACGAGCGAACGAUAGUAAGCUUGCUUCUCUGAUGUUAGCGGCGGACGGGUGAGUAACACGUGGGUAACCUACCUAUAAGACUGGGAUAACUCCGGGAAACCGGGGCUAAUACCGGAUAAUAUUUUGAACCGCAUGGUUCAAUAGUGAAAGACGGUUUCGGCUGUCACUUAUAGAUGGACCCGCGCCGUAUUAGCUAGUUGGUAAGGUAACGGCUUACCAAGGCGACGAUACGUAGCCGACCUGAGAGGGUGAUCGGCCACACUGGAACUGAGACACGGUCCAGACUCCUACGGGAGGCAGCAGUAGGGAAUCUUCCGCAAUGGGCGAAAGCCUGACGGAGCAACGCCGCGUGAGUGAUGAAGGUCUUCGGAUCGUAAAACUCUGUUGUUAGGGAAGAACAAAUUUGUUAGUAACUGAACAAGUCUUGACGGUACCUAACCAGAAAGCCACGGCUAACUACGUGCCAGCAGCCGCGGUAAUACGUAGGUGGCAAGCGUUAUCCGGAAUUAUUGGGCGUAAAGCGCGCGUAGGCGGUUUCUUAAGUCUGAUGUGAAAGCCCACGGCUCAACCGUGGAGGGUCAUUGGAAACUGGGAAACUUGAGUGCAGAAGAGGAGAGUGGAAUUCCAUGUGUAGCGGUGAAAUGCGCAGAGAUAUGGAGGAACACCAGUGGCGAAGGCGGCUCUCUGGUCUGUAACUGACGCUGAUGUGCGAAAGCGUGGGGAUCAAACAGGAUUAGAUACCCUGGUAGUCCACGCCGUAAACGAUGAGUGCUAAAGUGUUAAGGGGGGUUUCCGCCCCUUUUAUGCUGCACCAAGUUCAUUUAAGCGACUCCG
This 842-nucleotide ribosomal RNA is filed under the name Mammaliicoccus sciuri. Its description in RNAcentral is "bacterial SSU rRNA". It matches the Rfam family "Bacterial small subunit ribosomal RNA", at positions 51 to 871 of the family's 1533-position model. Lineage: Bacteria; Bacillati; Bacillota; Bacilli; Caryophanales; Staphylococcaceae. The record is from RNAcentral.